Molecule: ribosomal RNA, 656 nt
Filed under: Bacillus subtilis
Lineage: Bacteria; Bacillati; Bacillota; Bacilli; Caryophanales; Bacillaceae
Description: bacterial SSU rRNA
Rfam family: Bacterial small subunit ribosomal RNA
Source: RNAcentral
GAAACUGGGGAAACUUUGAGUGCAGAAGAGGAGAGUGGAAUUCCACGUGUAGCGGUGAAAUUGCGUAGAGAUGUGGAGGAACACCAGUGGCGAAGGCGACUCUCUGGUCUGUAACUGACGCUGAGGAGCGAAAGCGUGGGGAGCGAACAGGAUUAGAUACCCUGGUAGUCCACGCCGUAAACGAUGAGUGCUAAGUGUUAGGGGGUUUCCGCCCCUUAGUGCUGCAGCUAACGCAUUAAGCACUCCGCCUGGGGAGUACGGUCGCAAGACUGAAACUCAAAGGAAUUGACGGGGGCCCGCACAAGCGGUGGAGCAUGUGGUUUAAUUCGAAGCAACGCGAAGAACCUUACCAGGUCUUGACAUCCUCUGACAAUCCUAGAGAUAGGACGUCCCCUUCGGGGGCAGAGUGACAGGUGGUGCAUGGUUGUCGUCAGCUCGUGUCGUGAGAUGUUGGGUUAAGUCCCGCAACGAGCGCAACCCUUGAUCUUAGUUGCCAGCAUUCAGUUGGGCACUCUAAGGUGACUGCCGGUGACAAACCGGAGGAAGGUGGGGAUGACGUCAAAUCAUCAUGCCCCUUAUGACCUGGGCUACACACGUGCUACAAUGGACAGAACAGAGGGCAGCGAAACCGCGAGGUUAAGCCAAUCCCACAAAUC